AGUCAUAUGCUUGUCUCAGAGAUUAAGCCAUGCAUGUCUAAGUAUAAGCGAUCUUAUACAGCGAAACUGCGAAUGGCUCAUUAAAUCAGUUAUAGUCUACUUGAUCGUAUCUUCUUACAUGGAUAACCGUAGUAAAUCUAGAGCUAAUACAUGCUAAAAAUCCUGGACGCGGCAACGCGGAAGGGACGAGUUUAUUAGAUUAAAAACCGACACCUCUCCGCGAGGGGAGGUAGCACAGGUGAUUCACAGUAACCGAUCGGAUCGUCGGCCCCGCCGACGACGAUGCAUACGAGUUUCUGCCCUAUCAACUUUAGAUGGUAGAGUAUCGGUCUACCAUGGUCGUAACGGGUGACGGGGGAUUAGGGUUCGAUUCCGGAGAGGGAGCCUGAGAAACGGCUACCACUUCCAAGGAAGGCAGCAGGCGCGCAAAUUACCCAAUCCCGACACGGGGAGGUAGUGACAAGAAAUACCAUUGUAAUGUCUCCUCGAGAGGCUUACGAUUGGAAUGAGUACAAUUUAAAUCCCUUAACGAGUAACGAUU
Molecule: ribosomal RNA, 541 nt
Filed under: uncultured eukaryote
Lineage: Eukaryota
Description: SSU rRNA
Rfam family: Eukaryotic small subunit ribosomal RNA
Source: RNAcentral